RNAcentral lists this ribosomal RNA (231 nucleotides) under uncultured bacterium. Its description in RNAcentral is "partial 16S ribosomal RNA". It matches the Rfam family "Bacterial small subunit ribosomal RNA", at positions 118 to 347 of the family's 1533-position model. The record is from RNAcentral.
UGAGCAAUCUGCCCUUCUCAUCGGAAUAAGCGUUGGAAACGACGUCUAAUGCCGAAUACGACCUCCUUUCGCAUGAUCGGAGGUGGAAAGCUCCGGCGGAGAAGGAUGAGCUCGCGGCCUAUCAGCUAGUUGGUGUGGGUAAUGGCCCACCAAGGCGACGACGGGUAGCCGGCCCGAGAGGGUGACCGGCCACACUGGGACUGAGACACGGCCCAGACCUCCGUACGGGGA